Long non-coding RNA from Poecilia latipinna (sailfin molly), 993 nucleotides. RefSeq lists it as uncharacterized. The transcript is spliced from 2 exons. Lineage: Eukaryota; Metazoa; Chordata; Actinopteri; Cyprinodontiformes; Poeciliidae. The record is from RefSeq and is a predicted model, not a curated record.
AUUUUGUUAUACAUCUGUGUCAUCAUGAAAGGUAAGGGGUUGAUGUGAAAUUCAGAAAUUAACAGUAAACAUAAACACACAAAGUUUCAUGUUUUUAAUUGUAAAAGAAAACAAACAAAAAAAAAACAAUCCUACCCACUUAAUCUGUGUAUUCUUUUCAUUUUACAACUGUGUUUAUGACAACACAAUCCCAGCUGAAAACACAGAAGUUUAUGAUUAUGUGAUGAAAUGCUAACAAGAGAUAACUAUAUCAGCAAAUCACUGUACUUCAAAGCUUGGUUUUGGAGUUGCAUUUACUGCAUAAUGAUGAACAAAUGUUGUACAUGUUUCAGUGGGAGUAACACAGUUUGGAUCCCAGGACCGCGGCUGAGGUGCGGCAGGAAGUAUGAAAAACAUUCAGACUGGAAAGCUCCUGGAACUCCAAGAGGAUUUGACCUGACCACAGCUGAUGAGGCGGUGAUUAUUAGUGUGCCGUGGUGAUGGAAACGGAUCCUCGACUUCACAACAAAGCCCCUCAACCUCCUGUGGAAAUUACAGUCAUGAAGGUCAACAUACUACAGCCCUGCUGCAGAACUGUGGCUCGGUCUUAAAAGUGCAGCCACCAGCAGGAAUGAUGACACUCCUCUUUAUUAUUCACUUUACAGUAAAAAAGAAAAAAAAGGAAACACUGUAUCAUGCAGAGAGACUGCAGCUCGGACGAAUCCGGCUCAGGAGAUCCCCGUUGUGUCUGCUGAGGACCGCGGCUCAGACUGCAGAUGGGAUGAAACAUGGCACAGCUUUCCAAUUUUUAACAGGAUGUGACACUGCUGCGCUGCCUCCAUUCCACGCUCUUUGAAAAAAAAGCUCACGGUGUGAAAAAUCUGCGUGGAUGACUGGGGCAGUAAUGCAAAUCUACCUGACAUGCUUGUCACCAUCUGGGCCCAUUAAAGAGUAAAUAUUUUAGUCAGGAAUGAGAUGGAAUGUACCUAGCAUGAUUAAAAUCCUCAAAAUACA